RNAcentral lists this ribosomal RNA (1244 nucleotides) under metagenome. RNAcentral's name for it is "SSU rRNA". It matches the Rfam family "Eukaryotic small subunit ribosomal RNA", at positions 528 to 1790 of the family's 1831-position model. The record is from RNAcentral.
AAUCCCUUAACGAGGAUCAAUUGGAGGGCAAGUCUGGUGCCAGCAGCCGCGGUAAUUCCAGCUCCAAUAGCGUAUAUUAAAGUUGCUGCAGUUAAAAAGCUCGUAGUUGAAUUUCUGGUACGAUGUGCCUGGUCCACGGUCGCUAGGCCGCGCGUAUCGGAGUACGUCUGCCAUCCUUCUAGUUAACUGGCUAUACUUAACUGUGUGGUCAGCAACCUAGAUCUUUUACUUUGAAAAAAUUAGAGUGUUUAAAGCAGGCUCGCGCUGUGAAUACAUUAGCAUGGAAUAAUAAUUUAGGACUUUGCUUCUAUUUUAUUGGUUUCUAGGGGUAAAGUAAUGAUUGAUAGGGAUAGUUGGGGGUGCUAGUAUUCAUCGGCCAGAGGUGAAAUUCUUGGAUUCGAUGAAGACUAACUUAUGCGAAAGCAUUCACCAAGGAUGUCUUCUUUAAUCAAGAACGAAAGUUGGGGGAUCGAAGACGAUCAGAUACCGUCGUAGUCUCAACCAUAAACUAUACCGACUAGGGAUUAGUGGAAGUUGCUAUAUCGACUCCAUUAGCACCUUAUGAGAAAUCAGAAGUCUUUGGGUUCUGGGGGGAGUAUGGUCGCAAGGCUGAAACUUAAAGGAAUUGACGGAAGGGCACCACCAGGAGUGGAGCCUGCGGCUUAAUUUGACUCAACACGGGGAAACUUACCAGGUCCGGACAUAGUGAGGAUUGACAGAUUGAAGUUCUUUCUUGAUUCUAUGGGUGGUGGUGCAUGGCCGUUCUUAAUUUGUGGAGCGAUUUGUCUGGUUAAUUCCGAUAACGAACGAGACUCUGGCCUACUAACUAGACGUUAGAUCCCUUUGUGGGUCUAUCGCAGCUUCUUAGAGGGACGGGCGGCGUUUAGCCGCACGAGAUUGAGCAAUAACAGGUCUGUGAUGCCCUUAGAUGUUCUGGGCUGCACGCGCGCUACACUGAAGGAAUCAGCGUGUGUUCCCUACCCGAAAGGGUUGGGAAACCCGUUGAACCUCCUUCGUGAUGGGGAUUGGGGAUUGCAAUUAUUCCCCAUGAACGAGGAAUUCCCAGUAGGCGCGAGUCAUAAGCUUGCGUCGAUUACGUCCCUGCCCUUUGUACACACCGCCCGUCGCUACUACCGAUCGAGUGAUUUAGUGAGGCCUUCGGACUGGUCUUCAGUAUGGCUUUCGGGUCGUGUUGGAGUACCGGAAAGAUGACCAAACUUGAUCACUUAGAGGAAGUAAAAGUC